RNAcentral lists this ribosomal RNA (253 nucleotides) under uncultured bacterium. RNAcentral's name for it is "partial 16S ribosomal RNA". It matches the Rfam family "Bacterial small subunit ribosomal RNA", at positions 524 to 776 of the family's 1533-position model. The record is from RNAcentral.
UACGUAGGGUGCGAGCGUUAAUCGGAAUUACUGGGCGUAAAGCGUGCGCAGGCGGUUUUGUAAGCCAGGUGUGAAAUCCCCGGGCUCAACCUGGGAAUGGCAUUUGGGACUGCAAGGCUGGAGUGCGGCAGAGGAGACUGGAAUUCCUGGUGUAGCAGUGAAAUGCGUAGAUAUCAGGAGGAAUACCGAUGGCGAAGGCAGGUCUCUGGGCUGACACUGACGCUCAUGCACGAAAGCGCGGGGAGCAAACAGG